This 327-nucleotide ribosomal RNA is filed under the name uncultured eukaryote. RNAcentral's name for it is "partial 18S ribosomal RNA". It matches the Rfam family "Eukaryotic small subunit ribosomal RNA", at positions 1470 to 1796 of the family's 1831-position model. The record is from RNAcentral.
CCCUUAGAUGUUCUGGGCCGCACACGCGCUACACUGAAGGAGGCAGCGUGUACUCCUGGAUCGAAAGAUUUGGGUAACCCGCGAAUCUCCUUCGUGCUAGGGAUUGAGGUUUGCAAUUAUCCUUCAUGAACGAGGAAUUCCCAGUAAGUGCAAGUCAUAAGCUUGCGCUGACUACGUCCCUGCCCUUUGUACACACCGCCCGUCGCUACUACCGAUUGAAUGAUUUAGUGAGGACUUCGGACUGGGACCGAUGCGGCUUUCGGGCUGCGUCGGUAUUCUGGAAAGAUGUCCAAACUGUAUCAUUUAGAGGAAGUAAAAGUCGUACCA